RNAcentral lists this ribosomal RNA (246 nucleotides) under uncultured bacterium. Its description in RNAcentral is "partial 16S ribosomal RNA". It matches the Rfam family "Bacterial small subunit ribosomal RNA", at positions 523 to 769 of the family's 1533-position model. The record is from RNAcentral.
AUACGUAGGUGGCAAGCGUUAUCCGGAUUUACUGGGCGUAAAGGGUGCGUAGGUGGUUUCUUAAGUCAGGAGUGAAAGGCUACGGCUCAACCGUAGUAAGCUCUUGAAACUGGGAAACUUGAGUGCAGGAGGGGAAAGUGGAAUUCCUAGUGUAGCGGUGAAAUGCGUAGAUAUUAGGAGGAACACCAGUAGCGAAGGCGGCUUUCUGGACUGUAACUGACACUGAGGCACGAAAGCGUGGGGAGC